UGGUUGAUCCUGCCAGUAGUCAUAUGCUUGUCUCAAAGAUUAAGCCAUGCAUGUCUCAGUGCACGCCUUUAUACGGUGAAACCGCGAAUGGCUCAUUAAAUCAGCUAUGGUUUAUUGGAUCAUACCCGUUAAAUGGAUAACUGUAAUAACUCUAGAGCUAAUACAUGCCUCGAAGCCCUGACCUUACGGGAAUGGGUGCACUUAUUAGAUCAGAAGCCAACCGUGUAGGGUCGCAAGGCCUUGCAUGUUGAACUUCUGGUGACUCUGGAUAAUUGUUACAGAUCGCAGUCGGCCUUGAGUCGGCGACGGGUCCUUCAAAUGUCUGCCCUAUCAACUUUCGAUGGUAGGUNACCUGCCUACCAUGGUGAUAACGGGUAACGGGGAAUCAGGGUUCGAUUCCGGAGAGGGAGCCUGAGAAACGGCUACCACUUCCAAGGGAGGCAGCAGGCGCGCAAAUUACCCACUCCCAGUACGGGGAGGUGGUGACGAAAAAUACCGAUGCGGGACUCCUUAACGAGGCUCCGUAAUCGGAAUGAGUGAACUAUAAAUCCUUUCACGAGGAUCAAUUGGAGGGCAAGUCUGGUGCCAGCAGCCGCGGUAACUCCAGCUCCAAUAGCGUAUAUUAAAGUUGCUGCAGUUAAAAAGCUCGUAGUUGGAUCUCGGUAUAGUACCAACCCUGGGGUAUCGCAAGCGUCGUAUGGGUUCUGCCUUAACUGGUGUUCACCUGCGCGUCUCUACGGUGCCCCAGGGCGCGGGAAUUACCUUUUAGCCAUGUCUGUGGUGAAAUACCCAUAGGUGUAGGCUUGAGCGUCAGGUCAGUUCCUGUCUUACCGAUGGGGCUGCCGGCUCGUCUGCAUGCCCGAGGAUGCCCUUUAAAAGGUGUCUAUAGGCAGAUGGCACGUUUACUUUGAACAAAUUUGAGUGCUCAAACCAGGCCGAAGUCGCCUGAAAAGUUUUGCAUGGAAUAAUGGAAUAGAUUCUAUUUCGUUGGUUUUCGGAUCCGAAGUAAUGAUCAAAAGAGACAGGCGGGGACGUUUGUAUGGCUGCGCUAGAGGUGAAAUUCAUGACGUAGCCAGACAAACUAAAGCGAAAGCAUUCGUCAAGCAUGUUUUCAUUGGCCAUGAGCGAAAGUCAGAGGCUCGAAGACGAUCAGAUACCGUCCUAGUUCUGACCAUAAACGAUGCCAACUGACGAUCCGUGGUGGUAGUCUAUCAANCUUCCCCACGGGCAGUCCUCGGAAACCUUUAAGUCUUUGGGUUCCGGGGGAAGUAUGGUUGCAAAGCUGAAACUUAAAGGAAUUGACGGAAGGGCACCACCAGGAGUGGAGCCUGCGGCUUAAUUUGACUCAACACGGGAAAAAUCACCGGCCCGGACACUAUGAGGAUUGACAGAUUGAAAGCUCUUUCUUGAUUUGGUGGUUGGUGGUGCAUGGCCGUUCUUAGUUGGUGGAGCGAUUUGUCUGGUUAAUUCCGAUAACGAACGAGACUCUCGCCUGCUAAUUAGUGCAUCUGUCCACUGUGCCUGUGAUGGCGUCGUUCGGCGAGGCUGCUCUCCGAUAGCUGCCUUGGUGCUGUCUAGUGCUUUCGGGUGCUGGGUGGUGUCUUGGUGGUUGGGAUGUGGCUGGUCCAGCGUUUGCUCCGGGUGCGGCGCGGGUGUUUACUUCUUAGAGGGACAAGCGGGAGAAGCCGCACGAAAUUGAGCAAUAACAGGUCUGUGAUGCCCUUAGAUGUCCGGGGCCGCACGCGCGCUACAAUGACGGUGUCAACGAGUCUGACCUCCUGGCCCGAAAGGGUUGGGCAAACUGGUCAAUCGCCGUCAUGACAGGGAUCGGGGCUUGGAAUUGUUCCCCGUGAACGAGGAAUUCCUAGUAAGUGCAAGUCAUAAGCUUGCGCUGAUUACGUCCCUGCCCUUUGUACACACCGCCCGUCGCUACUACCGAUUGAAUGGUUUAGUAAGGUCCUUGGAUUGGUGCCAUUGUGGUGGUUGCUGAAAGGUGGCUGCCCGACAGGUGCUGAGAAGACGACCGAACUUGAUCAUUUAGAGGAAGUAAAAGUCGUAACAAGG
Molecule: ribosomal RNA, 2064 nt
Filed under: Anthobothrium laciniatum
Lineage: Eukaryota; Metazoa; Platyhelminthes; Cestoda; Tetraphyllidea
Description: SSU rRNA
Rfam family: Eukaryotic small subunit ribosomal RNA
Source: RNAcentral